GCUCAUUCGAAUGAUUUUUUUAUUAUAAGCAUUUUAAGUGCAAUCCACCAGCAUCAUAAUGACAACAAUGUUCAAUUGGAUCCCUUAACAAGCUUAUAUUAGCAAGAUACUUAAAUAUCUAUAUGCAAGGCAACAUUUCAUUGUACUCUCAAGCAGAAAUCGCUCCAUUAUAUCAUACAUAUCCAAUGUACAAGAACUCAUACACUAGAGGGGGCUUCAACAAUAAUAAAUGCCAACUCUCUUACAAGGCCAGUCACUAACAAGGGAAAGUAUACCAGCAUGUAAUCUGCUCAUUGUCAAUCGUCAAAGCCAGGACUCAGCCCUUCCAGUUAAAAUUCCAUGAGUAACCUAGCAAACUUCCUGAGAGAUAGAGGAACCAUAGCUAAACUCCUAGAAAGACCGUUCCCUGCUUGCAGACAUUUCAAUCUGCUUUGUGACCAUUUGUGUAUUUUCCUUGCUUCGAAGGAGGUAGAGUGUCAAUGAGAAAAGACUUCAUGUGCUUGUACAGCUCUUUAGGCCUCUCUGCAUUAAGUGCAUGCCCCACAUUUUUUAUUAUCACUAAUUCAGCAUUUUCACCAAUAUGCCGUUUUAAUCUAUGUGCCAGUUCCACUGGGAAGACCUGGUCAUAUUCUCCCCAGAUUAUUAGCGUAGGCUGGACUAUCUUGGGAAGAUUAGACAGCUUUCUACCAUUGUGCAAUGCCUGAAUCAGUUCUUUCUUCUCUUGACGAUAUUCUGUGCACAUGACCUCAAUAAAAUCGCUUAGAAAACAAGUCGGAGCAGGCUUUGGAGGCUUAUGAAAAGACAAUCGCAUCAACUGUCUAACUUUCUCGGGACUCUGAGGCAACAAAAUACUAAUUGCCUCAUCCACAGUCUUCACUUUAAACAUCCCUUCCUCCAUGUCCUUCUCCUCCAAGCAUACUCCAGCGCAUCCCAGCACCACUCGCCCGACGCGCUCCUUGAACUGGGCCGCCAUGCUGUAAGCCACGAAACCACCAUAACUCAACCCCAUAAGAUCCAUGUUCUUUACAUUAAGCGCAUCCAUAAGAGCCAUGAUGCACUGGGCUUGAAACGCCUCGGUCCUCUCUGGUCGGUUCGUGUAGGAAUCGCCGAAAAAGAGGAGGUCAGGGACGUAGAGAUUGAAUUUGGACUUCAAGGGAGGGAUGAAGUCGUUGAAUUGCCACAUUGCGUUGGCACCGAAGCCGUGGAUCAAGAGCAGCGAAGGCUUGGCCGGGAAAUGAGUUUUGGGGACCCAGCAGUGCAUGUGGGUGCCAUCACCGAGAUCGGUGGUGGAGGAUUUGAGGCCCGCCUUAGUGAAGAAGUAGCGGUAGCAGGAGUCUCGGGAGGCACUGAAGCUAAAACACUUCGCCAUUCUUGUCUCUGCUCUCUAAUCUCUUUUCUCGUAUUCUCGGUGAU
This 1413-nucleotide unclassified non-coding RNA is filed under the name Hevea brasiliensis (rubber tree). Lineage: Eukaryota; Viridiplantae; Streptophyta; Magnoliopsida; Malpighiales; Euphorbiaceae. The record is from RNAcentral.